CACUGGUGGCGACCGGCGCACGGGUGAGUAACACGUGUGCAACCAACCCCGUACCGGGAGAUAACCCGCGGAAACGUGGACUAACAUCCCAUGAGACUCUAGAUCCGCAUGGCUCUAGAUUUAAAAUUCCGGUGGUACGGGACGGGCACGCGCGACAUUAGGUAGUUGGCGGGGUAAGGGCCCACCAAGCCGACGAUGUCUAGGGGUUCUGAGAGGAAGGUCCCCCACACUGGAACUGAGACACGGUCCAG
This 251-nucleotide ribosomal RNA is filed under the name uncultured bacterium. Its description in RNAcentral is "partial 16S ribosomal RNA". It matches the Rfam family "Bacterial small subunit ribosomal RNA", at positions 83 to 334 of the family's 1533-position model. The record is from RNAcentral.